This 512-nucleotide ribosomal RNA is filed under the name uncultured bacterium. RNAcentral's name for it is "partial 16S ribosomal RNA". It matches the Rfam family "Bacterial small subunit ribosomal RNA", at positions 28 to 507 of the family's 1533-position model. The record is from RNAcentral.
GAUGAACGCUGGCGGCGUGCCUAAUACAUGCAAGUCGAACGAAACUUCUUUAUCACCGAGUGCUUGCACUCACCGAUAAAGAGUUGAGUGGCGAACGGGUGAGUAACACGUGGGCAACCUGCCCAAAAGAGGGGGAUAACACUUGGAAACAGGUGCUAAUACCGCAUAACCAUAGUUGCCGCAUGGUAACUAUGUAAAAGGUGGCUAUACUACCGCUUUUGGAUGGGCCCGCGGCGCAUUAGCUAGUUGGUAGGGUAAAGGCUUACCAAGGCAAUGAUGCGUAGCCGAAUUGAGAGGUUGAUCGGCCACAUUGGGACUGAGACACGGCCCAAACUCCUACGGGAGGCAGCAGUAGGGAAUCUUCCACAAUGGGCGAAAGCCUGAUGGAGCAACGCCGCGUGGGUGAAGAAGGUCUUCGGAUCGUAAAACCCUGUUGUUAGAGAAGAAAGUGCGUGAGAGUAACUGUUCACGUUUCGACGGUAUCUAACCAGAAAGCCACGGCUAACUACGUG